GAUGAACGCUGGCGGCGUGCCUAAUACAUGCAAGUCGAGCGAACAGACGAGGAGCUUGCUCCUUUGACGUUAGCGGCGGACGGGUGAGUAACAUGUGGAUAACCUACUUAUAAGUCUGGGAUAACUUCGGGAAACCGGAGCUAAUACCGGAUAAUAUAUUGAACCGCAUGGUUCAAUAGUGAAAGACGGCUUUUCUGUCACUUAUAGAUGGAUCCGCGCCGCAUUAGCUAGUUGGUAAGGUAACGGCUUAUCAAGGCAACGAUGCGUAGCCGACGUGAGAGGGUGAUAGGCCACACUGGAACUGGAACGCGGUCCAGGCUCCUGCGGGAGGCAGCAGUAGGGAAUCUGACGCAAUGGGCGAAAACCUGACGGAGCAGGGCGACGUGAGUGAUAAAGGUCUUCGGAUCGUAAAGAUCUGUUAUUGGGGAAGAACAAAUGUGUAAGUAGCUGUGCACGUCUUGACGGUACCUGAUCAGAAAGCCACGGCUAACUACGUG
RNAcentral lists this ribosomal RNA (497 nucleotides) under uncultured bacterium. RNAcentral's name for it is "partial 16S ribosomal RNA". It matches the Rfam family "Bacterial small subunit ribosomal RNA", at positions 28 to 507 of the family's 1533-position model. The record is from RNAcentral.